This 503-nucleotide ribosomal RNA is filed under the name uncultured bacterium. Its description in RNAcentral is "partial 16S ribosomal RNA". It matches the Rfam family "Bacterial small subunit ribosomal RNA", at positions 28 to 523 of the family's 1533-position model. The record is from RNAcentral.
GUUGAACGCUGGCGGCAUGCUUUACACAUGCAAGUCGAACGGUAACAGGGUGCUUGCUCCUUGGGUGACGAGUGGCGGACGGGUGAGUAAUGUCUGGGGAUCUGCCCGAUAGAGGGGGAUAACCACUGGAAACGGUGGCUAAUACCGCAUAACGUCGCAAGACCAAAGAGGGGGACCUUCGGGCCUCUCACUAUCGGAUGAACCCAGAUGGGAUUAGCUAGUAGGCGGGGUAAUGGCCCACCUAGGCGACGAUCCCUAGCUGGUCUGUGAGGAUGACCAGCCACACUGGAACUGAGACACGGUCCAGACUCCUACGGGAGGCAGCAGUGGGGAAUAUUGCACAAUGGGCGCAAGCCUGAUGCAGCCAUGCCGCGUGUAUGAAGAAGGCCUUCGGGUUGUAAAGUACUUUCAGCGGGGAGGAAGGCGGUGAGGUUAAUAACCUCGCCGAUUGACGUUACCCGCAGAAGAAGCACCGGCUAACUCCGUGCCAGCCGCCGCCGUAA